This 343-nucleotide unclassified non-coding RNA is filed under the name soil metagenome. RNAcentral describes it as "partial contains 5.8S ribosomal RNA, internal transcribed spacer 2, and large subunit ribosomal RNA". The stretch from base 1 to 120 matches the Rfam family "5.8S ribosomal RNA", at positions 35 to 154 of the family's 154-position model. The record is from RNAcentral.
GAUGAAGAACGUAGCGAAAUGCGAUAAGUAAUGUGAAUUGCAGAAUCCAGUGAAUCAUCGAAUCUUUGAACGCACAUUGCGCCCGCCAGCAUUCUGGCGGGCAUGCCUGUUCGAGCGUCAUUUCAACCCUCGACCUCCCUUUGGGGAAGUCGGCGUUGGGGACCGGCAGCACACCGCCGGCCCUGAAAUGGAGUGGCGGCCCGCCCGCGGCGACCUCUGCGUAGUAAUCCAACUCGCACCGGAACCCCGACGCGGCCACGCCGUAAAACACCCAACUUCUGAACGUUGACCUCGAAUCAGGUAGGACUACCCGCUGAACUUAAGCAUAUCAAUAAGCGGAGGA